RNAcentral lists this unclassified non-coding RNA (238 nucleotides) under plant metagenome. Its description in RNAcentral is "partial contains small subunit ribosomal RNA, internal transcribed spacer 1, and 5.8S ribosomal RNA". The record is from RNAcentral.
UUUCCGUAGGUGAACCGGCGGAAGGAUCAUUAUCGAGUUAGGAUCUCUGGCCCUACAUCCAACACUGUUACUGCUAAACCAUGGUUCUUCGGCGGGCCCGGGUUCGUCGCCGCCGAGGGGUUCACGCCCCCGGGCCAGCCCCCGCAGAUCGCCCCCUCUUCAACUCCUGAUCAACCCUGACUGUCUGAGUAAAAAAAAAUCAAGCACAAAACUUUCAACAACGGAUCUCUUGGUUCUG